CCUACGGGAGGCAGCAGUGGGGAAUAUUGCACAAUGGGCGAAAGCCUGAUGCAGCAACGCCGCGUGAAGGAAGACGGUUUUCGGAUUGUAAACUUCUGUUCUUAGGGAAGAAUAAUGACGGUAACUAAGGAGCAAGCCACGGCUAACUACGUGCCAGCAGCGGCGGUAAUACGUAGGUGGCAAGCGUUGCCCGGAAUUACUGGGUGUAAAGGGUGCGUAGGCGGGAAGCCAAGUCGGCUGUGAAAACUACGGGCUUAACCUGUAGACUGCAGUUGAAACUGGCUUUCUUGAGUGAGGUAGAGGUUGGCGGAAUUCCGAGUGUAGCGGUGAAAUGCGUAGAUAUUCGGAGGAACACCGGUGGCGAAGGCGGCCAACUGGGCUUUAACUGACGCUGAGGCUCGAAAGUGUGGGGAGCAAACAGGAUUAGAUACCCUUGUAGUC
RNAcentral lists this ribosomal RNA (441 nucleotides) under uncultured bacterium. RNAcentral's name for it is "partial 16S ribosomal RNA". It matches the Rfam family "Bacterial small subunit ribosomal RNA", at positions 338 to 795 of the family's 1533-position model. The record is from RNAcentral.